CAGUUCUAAGGGAUACAGUGCGUGG
RNAcentral lists this non-coding RNA (25 nucleotides) under Rattus norvegicus (Norway rat). The record is from RNAcentral. Lineage: Eukaryota; Metazoa; Chordata; Mammalia; Rodentia; Muridae.